AAAGCCAUGUGAGGACACAGCAAGAAGGUGGCCAACUGCAAGCCAGGAAGGGGACUUUCACCAGAAACCAACCAUGCUGUCACCUUUACCUUGGACUCCCAACCUCCAUAACUUGCUGAUUCCCCAAAAGAAGAACGGACCAAGGAGACAUGGAACACUAAUUUUGGUUUGUAAUAUUUUUAGUCUUGAUAAAAAUAAGAAAUGAAGAAAAGCAUUAGCAAGAUGUAAAAAGGAAGAAAUUCAAAAUGAAAAAAGUAAAUAAAGAACAACAAAAAUACAUUUGAAUCCCGGUAUUACCUGGUUUCUAUAAAAUAGACUUAAGACAAAGCAUUCAUCUAAAACAAUUUUUCUACAAUAAAUUCUGUGUG
Felis catus (domestic cat) is the source of this 368-nucleotide long non-coding RNA. RefSeq lists it as uncharacterized. The transcript is spliced from 2 exons. The record is from RefSeq and is a predicted model, not a curated record. NCBI's taxonomy places the organism in Eukaryota, Metazoa, Chordata, Mammalia, Carnivora, Felidae.